GGAAUACAAAACCAUCAUCGCAAGACCAGUUUCUGUUGGUAGGGGUUUCGGUUCUUACUUCCCCCAAAAGAAUCCAUUUUCUCUCCAUGGGAAACCUAAAGAUGGGGAAAAACAAAAAUUUUCCGGAAAAUAUCCCACUCUUCUUCAUGUUACAACUCAACGUGAACCUCAUGUUCAAUGUGCAUUUUAUAGCAGACCCCUAAAAAAUAAAGCCUGGGACAAAGAGUCGUCAUCAACAUAGACCUUCAUAUUGAAGGCGCAUACCACCAAUUCAGAUAAGCGUUAAUUGUCGGCUCCUCAAAUGCUUCUGUAAAUUUUAGGAUUCUGUUUAAUCAAAUAUUGCUUCUGUAAUUUUUUGUGCUUUUGUG
Molecule: long non-coding RNA, 368 nt
Filed under: Amborella trichopoda
Lineage: Eukaryota; Viridiplantae; Streptophyta; Magnoliopsida; Amborellales; Amborellaceae
Description: long non-coding RNA (ATRI_LNC000590)
Source: RNAcentral